UUCCUGCGCCCAGAGGGCUGUGCUCAGCCCCAACUCGGCCUGCGCGCCCACGCCAGCCCCCAAUGGCCAUUCAGGAGCGCUUCAUCCCCGAAUGGUUCAGCCUUUUGGUGACCUCAUAGCCAUUUACUUCUAAUUGUAUUGGGUUCUAAUAUCGUAGCCUCAUCUCAAUUUUUCAAAGUGUGUCAGGUGUUUGCGUGGUCACGUGAAACGAUUGGUGUUUACAAGUGCUCCACGGGCACAAACUAAGAAAACGCCCCACUGUGAGGCUCCACAGUUGAAACGCUGGUUUGAAACAUGGUCCUGAGACUCUGGCUCUCCUCCUGCUGUGUCUGGGCUCUGUGGAUGCCAGACCGAAGCAGAGGGUGAAGUGACGGCCCCCAGGCCCGCCACCUCCCAGCACUUGGAUCUAAGUUCUCAGAAAGCCAAGCAGCCGGGGAGGCCGGGGAAGAAGGCCUCCCCGCGCGCCCACCAUCCGGAAGUGGCUCCAGGCAGAACAGAGGUGGGCUGUCCCGGGGACCCUGCCCACACUGCGCCUGUGAGACCUGCAGGUUGGUGGUUUGAAGGCGCCGGGUUUGGGGUGCUGGCUUCACGGCUGUAGGUGCCAGGCACAGUGAUCCGGGCUUCCUGUCGGAGUCCAGAACGACCCACACGACAACCUCUAACCGUCAACGCUGUGACUUGUAUCUCCCGGGCUGGAGUCGCCCGUCCUGAGCGAGAUGUCCUGAAGUGUCCCAUGAGUGUUGUGGUCACCUGGUUUCCGCAGCUUCUGCCGUCCAUGUGUUGUUCUGCUCUCGGAGGCAUGAGAGUUUACAGCCGUGUCUUCUGGAAACGGUGCCUCUUCCGGGCCAGGAGCGGCGCUGACCCCACUGCUCUCCACCCUGCAUCUGUUUUUUCCUUUUGUGUCCACUUGCUAGGCAUCCCUUGGCCUUCCUUCAUUUUUCAACUGUCAUGACCAGUUUGUUUGACUGAAUUCCUUUGAACAAUGUGUUUGUUAAAAAUAAAACCUCUGGGGCUUCCCUGGUGGUCCAGUGGUUAAGAAUGUGCCCUGCAAUGCAGGGGACACCGUUUGGUCCCUGGUCCAGGAAGAUCCCACAUGCCAGGGACAACGAAGCCCGUGCACCACAGCUACAGAGCGUGAGCGUGAGCGCCUGCUCAUGAGCCACAACUGCUGUGGCCCGGGAGCCUGGAGCCAGCGCCUGCAGCGGAGAAGCCGCUGCAACUAGGAGCCGGAGCAGCGCAGCUAGAGAGCGGCGCCCACUACCGCAACUAGAGAAAGCCCGAGUCCAGCAGCCGAGAUCCACUGCAGCAAAAAGUAAAUCUUUGGAAAAUAAAUAGAAAUAAAACCCUUCUGGCAGUCUCUGCCUUUAAACAGAGGGAUUCAAGCGAUUCACAUUUAGUAUAAAAUUGGACGUCUCUGGCUUCUUCCGCCUUACUCUCCAUUUGCUAUCUCGCUUUGUUGUCUCUUUCAUCCGCUUUGUAGUUGCCAAGUUGAUCAGCACGUUACUCAUCCCCUUUUAUUCACGGAGUUGGGAGUGUCACUGAGCCCCUGCAUCCCACCACUGUGAUCCUUUGGUUCUUGAACCCACAGCCACACCUGCUCUGGCCCAGAAGCAGCUCCCACCACACAGCGCCCCUUCGCUUUCUCCCCAGCGCUGCUGGAGCGCAGCGGCUGUGCGGGUGGAUGCACCAUCCAGCAUCCCUGAAACCCAGCACCGUUUGCAAGAAGGCUAACUUCCUCGCAGUCAACUAGCAUUCUGCAGUCGGACACAGACGGCGGGCCGGGUGGGAGCAGGUACGGGCGGGUCUCUGGGCAGGAUGGACGACAGUGC
Bos grunniens (domestic yak) is the source of this 1829-nucleotide long non-coding RNA. The record is from Ensembl. Lineage: Eukaryota; Metazoa; Chordata; Mammalia; Artiodactyla; Bovidae.